This is a long non-coding RNA of Mus musculus (house mouse), 1440 nucleotides long. RefSeq annotates it as predicted gene, 35724. Lineage: Eukaryota; Metazoa; Chordata; Mammalia; Rodentia; Muridae. The transcript has 4 exons. The record is from RefSeq and is a predicted model, not a curated record.
UCCUCAGACAAGGCAGGAAGGCAGCUCUUGGGCCUCACUGUCAAGCACAGGAAGCGACUGGAUUCCACUUGCCCGGUGUAGGGAUGACAGCAGGUAUUGAGUGGGACUGCAGGCCUGACAUCCUUAGCUCCUCCACACCCAGGACAGCCCGGCUGUCAGCACAGGGCAGCAGAAAGGACAGGGGACAAGCUCCAGGUGUGGGCGAGUCCCAGAGCAGCCCGGGGAGAGUGUCACUGUGUGGGUGCUGGCGUGGGGGCAGGAGCACACCACAUGCAGUUGCACGGGGGACUGAAUCUGAGGCUUUGGGGGAAGCAUCCAAGCCCCAGGGUGUGUGUGAGGGGGUCCCCCACAUGAGCAAUUCCUCAGGCCCAGCAAUGGCUGAUUCCCUCUGCUCGAGGAGAAAUCUCAUGUGAGGAAGGUGGAGUCAGGUCAGCUCCUCUCCAAUUACCCAGAAUGGGUGAGAGUUGAAGAUCUAGAAACAGAUUGCUGAGGCAGGAGAACAAAUGGUGACCCCUGCGCCUGCCCACGUUCCUGGAGGAAAACAGGAGCCAGUAGAGAGUGAGCUGACUCGGUGUGACUCCCUUAACAUUGACACAAAAGAGAAACUAUCAUAGGUCAUGGGUACCAGCAUCCCCAGUUCUCAUCAGGAAGCAGUACCCCAGGGCACAUGUCCCACAGACUGCUGAAAGAGAUCUUGCUCAGGUAAGGGGACCACUUCACAGCUCCUGCUGAGGGGCAGAGCCCAGGUGGGAAGCCAAGGAUGCAGCAAGCAAGCUCAUCAUCCCUGCGCAUCAGUUUGGUGUUAGGGUUUAGGAGCCUGUGAGUUGCCCACUCCCCACAAAGCCCCCCUAACCUUCAGCUUGCCACAUUCAAGACCCUCCACAUAGUGUCCGGUUGGCUACAUCUCUGUUCCUAAGGGUUUCCCAGGAUGAGGGGGUGCAGGAGCCCCCCAGAAGUGCCCAUCCUCUAACCAACUGGGGGCCAGCUAAGCAGACAUCUUGGUCAAGCCUCAGCCCGUAGACUUGUGCUCUUGUGGCAUAAGAUGAGCCUCUGGGAACCAACUCGAGACCUACUGUUUGGGAGUUCGCCGGAGCAACGAGCCCCUUCUGAGGCCUCUAAGCUGCUGAGCUCUGCAGGAUUGAGGUCAUGAUCCCUGCCAUGUUCCAGAGGCUUCACAAGAAGAUGAAGGGACCCAGGAGGAGAUUGUGGGUCCAUGGGAACUGUCAGGCCCCAGAGAACCUCCUAGCCCAUGCUGGAAGAGAAGGCCAUUCCAUCUGGGAAUCACAUGGCACUGGGUGGAGAGAGAACCGACUGGGCCUGACGCCUUGCAGAACCAGCAUCCAGCCUGUGUCCAAAGUGCUCCUGGAACCACAGAAUGUUUCAUGCCUCCAACCCUGCCCCCUCUGUCUGUCUGUCUGUUUGUCCAUCUGUCCAUCUGUC